This 247-nucleotide long non-coding RNA is filed under the name Gallus gallus (chicken). Lineage: Eukaryota; Metazoa; Chordata; Aves; Galliformes; Phasianidae. The record is from RNAcentral.
GUCAGGUUGAAGUUGCAGGCGUGGGCCGCGGCGCUCCAGCGCAGCCAGGCGCUCCGCGCGGCCACGCGGCGCUCCGUCAGAUUGGCGCUGCAGCCCGCAGCCUCCCCGCGCGCGGCCUCGCUGAGCGCCAGCACCGUGCACAGGGCGAGUCCCGCUCCAUAGCUCAGCAUCGCCACCCGCUUUUAUCCGCGGAACCCCUCGUGGGGAGGGGGGAGGAUGAAGAAGGCGAGCGGCCCGCGGACCCUGG